GGACGAACGCCUGGCGGCGUGCCUAACACAUGCAAGUCGAGCGGGACAUGCGACGGAGUCGAAGUUUCGGAUGGAGACAAAGAUGUAUUGUUCUAGCGGCGGACGGGUGAGUAACGCGUGAGCAACCUGUCCCUUACAGGGGAUAACACAGCGAAAGUUGUACUAAUACCGCAUAAGACCACAGAGUGACAUCGCUCAGGGGUCAAAGGAGCAAUCCGGUAAGGGGUGGGCUCGCGUCCGAUUAGAUAGUUGGUGAGGUAACGGCCCACCAAGUCGACGAUCGGUGGCCGACCUGAGAGGGUGAUCGGCCACAUUGGGACUGAGACACGGCCCAAACUCCUACGGGAGGCAGCAGUGGGGAAUAUUGGGCAAUGGGGGGAAACCCUGACCCAGCAACGCCGCGUGAGGGAAGAAGGUUUUCGGAUCGUAAACCUCUGUCCUUGGUGAAGAGGAAGAGACGGUAGCCAAGGAGGAAGCCCCGGCUAACUACGUGCCAGCCGCGGC
RNAcentral lists this ribosomal RNA (504 nucleotides) under uncultured bacterium. RNAcentral describes it as "bacterial SSU rRNA". It matches the Rfam family "Bacterial small subunit ribosomal RNA", at positions 36 to 518 of the family's 1533-position model. The record is from RNAcentral.